Molecule: long non-coding RNA, 473 nt
Organism: Plectropomus leopardus (leopard coralgrouper)
Lineage: Eukaryota; Metazoa; Chordata; Actinopteri; Perciformes; Serranidae
Source: RefSeq, a predicted model, not a curated record
UGUCACUCGACUGACUUCUGAAUAGCUGCCGAUGCGAAACACCUGAGAGGCUCCAGGACAGCAGCUGCACACAGACGAAGUGUCAGAUCAACUUUUUGCCCUUUGAAACAAUUUAAGCUUUUCCAUCAAACAUGUUACUCAUAAAUCCAAACCUAAUCUGCGGACAUCAACAGAGGAGACGGCUGUCCAAAGAAAGAAGAGACCUGAAUGAGGCUGCGUCUCCUUCACAAUGCGGUCGGAUGCUGAAGUGUGUUCCUCCUGCCCCUCAAAGCUAUCACAGGCGCUCACAAUCGCCCGCGGCGCUCUUUUGAUCAGCCCAGAUGCCUGAUCUGAACACCUGGAAACGCCGUUUAAACCGCAGCAGGGGAGGAAGUGGCAGAUCUUAGUCUUGUGCUCGUGAAGUCAAACCUUCACUCCAGAUUUAAGCUUUUUCCAGGGUGACAGGAGCUGCAGCCAAUCCCAGCAUGCAUUGU